UGGCUCAGAUUGAACGCUGGCGGCAGGCCUAACACAUGCAAGUCGAGCGGAUGAAGGGAGCUUGCUCCUGGAUUCAGCGGCGGACGGGUGAGUAAUGCCUAGGAAUCUGCCUGGUAGUGGGGGAUAACGUCCGGAAACGGGCGCUAAUACCGCAUACGUCCUGAGGGAGAAAGUGGGGGAUCUUCGGACCUCACGCUAUCAGAUGAGCCUAGGUCGGAUUAGCUAGUUGGUGGGGUAAAGGCCUACCAAGGCGACGAUCCGUAACUGGUCUGAGAGGAUGAUCAGUCACACUGGAACUGAGACACGGUCCAGACUCCUACGGGAGGCAGCAGUGGGGAAUAUUGGACAAUGGGCGAAAGCCUGAUCCAGCCAUGCCGCGUGUGUGAAGAAGGUCUUCGGAUUGUAAAGCACUUUAAGUUGGGAGGAAGGGCAGUAAGUUAAUACCUUGCUGUUUGACGUACCAAC
RNAcentral lists this ribosomal RNA (465 nucleotides) under Pseudomonas aeruginosa. Its description in RNAcentral is "bacterial SSU rRNA". It matches the Rfam family "Bacterial small subunit ribosomal RNA", at positions 20 to 482 of the family's 1533-position model. The record is from RNAcentral. Lineage: Bacteria; Pseudomonadati; Pseudomonadota; Gammaproteobacteria; Pseudomonadales; Pseudomonadaceae.